RNAcentral lists this ribosomal RNA (1494 nucleotides) under uncultured bacterium. RNAcentral's name for it is "bacterial SSU rRNA". It matches the Rfam family "Bacterial small subunit ribosomal RNA". The record is from RNAcentral.
AGAGUUUGAUCCUGGCUCAGGAUGAACGCUGGCGGCGUGCCUAACACAUGCAAGUCGAGCGGAGGGACUGAGAGCACUUGUGCUUUUGGAAACUUAGCGGCGGACGGGUGAGUAACACGUGAGCAAUCUGCCUUUUGCCGGGGAAUAACACUGGGAAACCAGUGCUAAUACCGCAUAACAUCCAAGUACGGCAUCGUACAUGGAUCAAAGGAGCAAUCCAGCAAAAGAUGAGCUCGCGUCCGAUUAGGUAGUUGGUGAGGUAACGGCUCACCAAGCCCACGAUCGGUAGCCGGACUGAGAGGUUGAACGGCCACAUUGGGACUGAGACACGGCCCAGACUCCUACGGGAGGCAGCAGUGGGGAAUAUUGGGCAAUGGGGGAAACCCUGACCCAGCAACGCCGCGUGAAGGAUGAAGGCUUUCGGGUUGUAAACUUCUUUGAUCAGGGACGAAACAAAUGACGGUACCUGAAGAACAAGCCACGGCUAACUACGUGCCAGCAGCCGCGGUAAUACGUAGGUGGCAAGCGUUGUCCGGAAUAACUGGGCGUAAAGCGCAUGUAGACGGCAUGAUAAGCCAAAUGUGAAAUGUAGGGGCUCAACCCCUACACUGCGAUUGGAACUGUCAAGCUUGAGUGCAGGAGAGGCAAAUGGAAUUCCCAGUGUAGCAGUGAAAUGCGUAGAGAUUGGGAGGAACACCAGUGGCGAAGGCGAUUUGCUGGACUGCAACUGACGUUGAGAUGCGAAAGCCAGGGGAGCAAACGGGAUUAGAUACCCCGGUAGUCCUGGCCGUAAACGAUGGAUACUAGGUGUAGAGGGUAUCGACCCCUUCUGUGCCGCAGUGAACGCAAUAAGUAUCCCGCCUGGGGAGUACGGUCGCAAGACUGAAACUCAAAGGAAUUGACGGGGGCCCGCACAAGCAGUGGAGCAUGUGGUUUAAUUCGACGCAACCCGAAGAACCUUACCAGGUCUUGACAUUUGUAGAAUUGGGCAGAGAUGCUUAAGUGCCUUUCGGGGAACUACAAAACAGGUGGUGCAUGGUUGUCGUCAGCUCGUGUCGUGAGAUGUUGGGUUAAGUCCCGCAACGAGCGCAACCCUUGAUAACAGUUGCCAGCAAGUAAGGUUGGGCACUCUGUUGUGACUGCCGUAGAUAAUACGGAGGAAGGUGGGGAUGACGUCAAAUCAUCAUGCCCUAUAUGACCUGGGCUACACACGUGCUACAAUGGGGUGAACAACGGGAAGCAAGCCAGCGACGGUAAGCGGAACCCUAAAAACACCUCUCAGUUCAGAUUGCAGGCUGCAACCCGCCUGCAUGAAGUCGGAAUUGCUAGUAAUCGCGGAUCAGCAAGCCGCGGUGAAUACGUUCCCGGGCCUUGUACACACCGCCCGUCACACCACGAAAGUUGGCAACACCCGAAGUCGGUGAGGUAACCUUAAUCGGAACCAGCCGCCGAAGGUGGGGUCAGUAAUUGGGGUGAAGUCGUAACAAGGUAACC